Long non-coding RNA from Onychostoma macrolepis, 475 nucleotides. RefSeq lists it as uncharacterized. The transcript is spliced from 4 exons. Lineage: Eukaryota; Metazoa; Chordata; Actinopteri; Cypriniformes; Cyprinidae. The record is from RefSeq and is a predicted model, not a curated record.
CUGAACUUUGCAGGACAGUCGAUUGCCAGGAGCAAGAUUGGGCACCUCUGUUUUAACAUCUCAACCAAUUUGAAUCAUCACAUAUUUGUAUCGAUUUUCAACCGGCUCAGAUUUGCCAUUUGAUGUCAGCAGAGACUCUGAGGACUGCUGCUUUUCACUAUCGAGUUGCAACAUCCCCAGCAGAGGUGAACAACAGACAGUCUGUUAACCUGAUUCACCUCACAAUAAAAUAUAUGAAGAAAGUCAGUCAUACAGGUUUUGGAGCAGCAUGAGGGGAGGCAUAUUGCAAGCUGUUGGGAGCCUGUGCAUCUUGUGAUGAGAAUGAUCUUGAAGGUCUUCGUGUAUGACAUGGUCAGCUUUCAGUGGAGAUUCUGAUUACUUUCUGGCCUGGGAAAGACACCUUAAGGAUCUUGAGGGGAUGAAGUUGGAUUCAUGUCAUUUCCUGAGUGCGUAUGGCAAAUAUGGCAUUUGCUGA